RNAcentral lists this ribosomal RNA (497 nucleotides) under uncultured bacterium. RNAcentral's name for it is "partial 16S ribosomal RNA". It matches the Rfam family "Bacterial small subunit ribosomal RNA", at positions 28 to 507 of the family's 1533-position model. The record is from RNAcentral.
GAUGAACGCUGGCGGCGUGCCUAAUACAUGCCAGUCGAGCGAACAGAUGAGGAGCUUGCUCCUCUGACGUUAGCGGCGGACGGGUGAGUAACACGUGGAUAACCUACCUAUAAGACUGGGAUAACUUCGGGAAGCCGGAGCUAAUACCGGAUAAUAUAUUGAACCGCAUGGUUCAAUAGUGAAAGACGGUUUUGCUGUCACUUAUAGAUGGAUCCGCGCCGCAUUAGCUAGUUGGUAAGGUAACGGCUUACCAAGGCAACGAUGCGUAGCCGACCUGAGAGGGUGAUCGCCCACACUGGAACUGAGACACGGUCCAGACUCCUACGGGAGGCAGCAGUAGGGAAUCUUCCGCAAUGGGCGAAAGCCUGACGGAGCAACGCCGCGUGAGUGAUGAAGGUCUUCGGAUCGUAAAACUCUGUUAUUAGGGAAGAACAAAUGUGUAAGUAACUAUGCACGUCUUGACGGUACCUAAUCAGAAAGCCACGGCUAACUACGUG